RNAcentral lists this unclassified non-coding RNA (201 nucleotides) under Hevea brasiliensis (rubber tree). Lineage: Eukaryota; Viridiplantae; Streptophyta; Magnoliopsida; Malpighiales; Euphorbiaceae. The record is from RNAcentral.
UAACUAUUGCAUUGCUUUCAUACACUUUUCCAUCUUAACUGCCAUUUUAGUUUCUGGGUUCAAAUCUUGCAUCUUCUAGUGAUUUGUAAUUAUUAGUAAAACACAAAUCCAACUGAAAGAUUAUCACAAGUUAAUCCAAAAAGGCAAGAACUUAAUUAUUUUUCUAUCACAAAUAUGCAGGCAACCUAGCAAAUGCCACGG